CAGUAGCCGCGGGAAUACGGAGGAUCCAAGCGUUAUCCGGAAUUAUUGGGCGUAAAGCGCGCGUAGGUGGUUUGUUAAGUUGGAUGUGAAAGCCCCGGGCUCAACCUGGGAACUGCAUCCAAAACUGGCAAGCUAGAGUACGGUAGAGGGUGGUGGAAUUUCCUGUGUAGCGGUGAAAUGCGUAGAUAUAGGAAGGAACACCAGUGGCGAAGGCGACCACCUGGACUGAUACUGACACUGAGGUGCGAAAGCGUGGGGAGCAAACAGGAUUAGAUACCCGUGUAGUCCCUGUCUCUUAUAC
Molecule: ribosomal RNA, 301 nt
Filed under: uncultured bacterium
Lineage: Bacteria
Description: partial 16S ribosomal RNA
Rfam family: Bacterial small subunit ribosomal RNA
Source: RNAcentral